AUUGAACGCUGGCGGCAUGCUUUACACAUGCAAGUCGAACGGCAGCACGGGUGCUUGCACCUGGUGGCGAGUGGCGGACGGGUGAGUAAUACAUCGGAACGUGCCCAUGUUGUGGGGGAUAACUACGCGAAAGCGUGGCUAAUACCGCAUACGCCCUGAGGGGGAAAGCGGGGGAUUCUUCGGAACCUCGCGCAAUUGGAGCGGCCGAUGUCAGAUUAGCUUGUUGGUGAGGUAAAGGCUCACCAAGGCGACGAUCUGUAGCGGGUCUGAGAGGAUGAUCCGCCACACUGGGACUGAGACACGGCCCAGACUCCUACGGGAGGCAGCAGUGGGGAAUUUUGGACAAUGGGGGCAACCCUGAUCCAGCCAUGCCGCGUGAGUGAAGAAGGCC
RNAcentral lists this ribosomal RNA (391 nucleotides) under uncultured bacterium. Its description in RNAcentral is "bacterial SSU rRNA". It matches the Rfam family "Bacterial small subunit ribosomal RNA", at positions 30 to 416 of the family's 1533-position model. The record is from RNAcentral.